UUUUUACAGCUGAGUAAUACUCCACUGUGUAUAUGUACCAUAUUUUCUUUAUCCAUUCUUCAGUUGAGGAACAUCUAGGUUAUUUCCAGGUUGUGGUUAUUAUGAUUAAUGUUGAUAUGACCAUAGUUGAGCAAGGGCUGCAGAACUAACAGAGAAGAAAAUUGAGAGAACAGAA
Molecule: non-coding RNA, 175 nt
Organism: Peromyscus maniculatus bairdii (prairie deer mouse)
Lineage: Eukaryota; Metazoa; Chordata; Mammalia; Rodentia; Cricetidae
Source: RefSeq, a predicted model, not a curated record